GAUGAAGAACGUAGCGAAAUGCGAUAACUAAUGUGAAUUGCAGAAUUCAGUGAAUCAUCGAGUCUUUGAACGCACAUUGCGCCCCCUGGUAUUCCGGGGGGCAUGCCUGUCCGAGCGUCAUUGCUGCCCUCAAGCACGGCUUGUGUGUUGGGCUCCGUCCCCCCGGGGACGGGCCCGAAAGGCAGCGGCGGCACCGAGUCCGGUCCUCGAGCGUAUGGCGCUUUGUCACCCGCUCUGUAGGCCCGGCCGGCGCCAGCCGACAACCCAUCAUCCUUUUCAGGUUGACCUCGGAUCAGGUAGGGAUACCCGCUGAACUUAAGCAUAUCAAUAAGCGGAGGA
RNAcentral lists this unclassified non-coding RNA (339 nucleotides) under soil metagenome. RNAcentral's name for it is "partial contains 5.8S ribosomal RNA, internal transcribed spacer 2, and large subunit ribosomal RNA". The stretch from base 1 to 120 matches the Rfam family "5.8S ribosomal RNA", at positions 35 to 154 of the family's 154-position model. The record is from RNAcentral.